Molecule: long non-coding RNA, 1053 nt
Organism: Apis cerana (Asiatic honeybee)
Lineage: Eukaryota; Metazoa; Arthropoda; Insecta; Hymenoptera; Apidae
Source: RefSeq, a predicted model, not a curated record
AUUUGUCGAUCAGAAACCGGGCAGGUAAGUGCGCAAUGGUUCGAUGCACUCGCCUCCUCCCCCGUCCCUCCCUUUUAUCCAUCUCUUUUCCCUCUCUCCCUCCCCCAUUCACGUUCCAUUCAUUUCACUAUCGAAUCUUUAUCCGACCGUUCCAUCCCGAUUCCACCCUUUGUCCCAUGCCGGGGCUUUGUUCUCCUAUGAACGGGCCGCCGGGACGCGCACGCGCUCGCGGUACCAAAUCGCACGAAUAGUCAAUUAUAAGGGGUUUAGCCGGACGUAAUUGCGAUUUAAAUGUCUUAUUGCGCCGCAUUAACCGCGAAGGCAUAAUUCAAAACGCCCUCGCGUGCCUCCACGCUCUUCCGCUUCCCAACCUGCGCGCGCAGCUUCGUUUAUAUAUAUGGCGGACGGCUCGGUUACCGUCCGGCGUUAUCGGAGCUAUUUAAAAGAUACGAGAGAGGGAAUGUACAAGGAGUGAAAUUUUCGGUGUGCGUUGUGUUUUCAUUGAAAUAACUAUUCUAGGAUAAUUCCUUUUUUUUAAGGAAGGGAAAUAUCAAGUUUUCGGCUAUUUAUCGUUUUAUUUGAAUUAUUCAAAUCUAACCUCAAUUAAUUCAACAUUUUAAUCUAAUCUGUUAUUUCGGAUUACCUAUUCCAUUUUUAAAAAUUUAAACAAUCAUUCUAAUCUUAUCAACAGUCGAUAACCAAUGGCCAAUCAAAGAAUCGUUAGUCUUCCACUGAACGAGUGAUUUAUUUGUGAUACACGUUUCAACAGCUUGGAAAAGUCGAACAAUUUAUCGAUGGAAAAAAAUAAAACGAGACGUAUCCAAUGAAUUCUUUCGUUCGUCGCUGGAUUCUUGCCUCUUGUCGCCGUAUCCGGUAUUAAUAACCAAACCGUCAUAUUUGCAUGCGGCCGAGCGCCUUUGACCAACACGCGCUCGACCGAUCGGUUUUAUUACGUAUGCCUCGAUGAUUAUUUAAAAGCCGUAAUUCCCGCCUACAGGGCCGGCACUAUAUGUAACGCGAAAAUUGCCCCAAAUAUAACAAAAUAAAUCAAAA